GGGGAUGACGUCAAGUCAUCAUGGCCCUUACGGCCAGGGCUACACACGUGCUACAAUGGUCGGUACAAAGGGUUGCCAAGCCGCGAGGUGGAGCUAAUCCCAUAAAACCGAUCGUAGUCCGGAUCGCAGUCUGCAACUCGACUGCGUGAAGUCGGAAUCGCUAGUAAUCGUGAAUCAGAAUGUCACGGUGAAUACGUUCCCGGGCCUU
This 208-nucleotide ribosomal RNA is filed under the name uncultured Pseudomonas sp. RNAcentral's name for it is "partial 16S ribosomal RNA". It matches the Rfam family "Bacterial small subunit ribosomal RNA", at positions 1175 to 1382 of the family's 1533-position model. The record is from RNAcentral. Lineage: Bacteria; Pseudomonadati; Pseudomonadota; Gammaproteobacteria; Pseudomonadales; Pseudomonadaceae.